UACUCGAGUGGCGAACGGGUGAGUAACACGUGGGUGAUCUGCCCUGCACUUCGGGAUAAGCUCGGGAAACUGGGUCUAAUACCGGAUAGGAACCAUCUUUAGUGUGGUGGUUGGAAAGUUUUUCGGUGUAGGAUGAGCUCGCGGCCUAUCAGCUUGUUGGUGUGGUAAUGGCCUACCAAGGCGGCGACGGGUAGCCGGCCUGAGAGGGUGUACGGCCACAUUGGGACUGAGAUACGGCCCAG
RNAcentral lists this ribosomal RNA (242 nucleotides) under uncultured Actinomycetales bacterium. RNAcentral describes it as "partial 16S ribosomal RNA". It matches the Rfam family "Bacterial small subunit ribosomal RNA", at positions 88 to 334 of the family's 1533-position model. The record is from RNAcentral. Lineage: Bacteria; Bacillati; Actinomycetota; Actinomycetes; Actinomycetales.